RNAcentral lists this ribosomal RNA (145 nucleotides) under Campylobacter jejuni. RNAcentral describes it as "partial 16S ribosomal RNA". It matches the Rfam family "Bacterial small subunit ribosomal RNA", at positions 1 to 139 of the family's 1533-position model. Lineage: Bacteria; Pseudomonadati; Campylobacterota; Epsilonproteobacteria; Campylobacterales; Campylobacteraceae. The record is from RNAcentral.
UUUUAUGGAGAGUUUGAUCCUGGCUCAGAGUGAACGCUGGCGGCGUGCCUAAUACAUGCAAGUCGAACGAUGAAGCUUUUAGCUUGCUAGAAGUGGAUUAGUGGCGCACGGGUGAGUAAGGUAUAGUUAAUCUGCCCUACACAAG